Non-coding RNA from Gossypium hirsutum (cotton), 100 nucleotides. NCBI's taxonomy places the organism in Eukaryota, Viridiplantae, Streptophyta, Magnoliopsida, Malvales, Malvaceae. The record is from Rfam.
AUGUUAACGAGAUAUUGGUGCGGUUCAAUUUAAAAGCAUCACUCUAAAGGUUAAGAGUUAUGUUAUUUGAUUGAGCCGUGCCAAUAUCACGUAAUAAUUA